Molecule: non-coding RNA, 1274 nt
Organism: Camellia sinensis
Lineage: Eukaryota; Viridiplantae; Streptophyta; Magnoliopsida; Ericales; Theaceae
Source: RefSeq, a predicted model, not a curated record
UAAAAUCUUUAGUCACGAAUGAAUAUUAAUUAUGUACUAUGUAUUUUGUUUUCAACCCAAACCGUGGGUAAAUCAAUUCCCCUUUCUCCUCUCUCUCUGGCUGAGAGACCCACCGUCUUCUCACUUCUCUCAUUGACCUCCAAUUCCACCCACCAAUGGCGCGGCCGCGGCCACAGGUCGCCACCACCACUGCCGUCUUGAUACUAUUUCUCGUGGCCGAGGUCGUUUCCUCUGGCCAAGCAACCACCAUCGUCCUCCGACCUCCCCACGGCGGCAGCAAUCGCCACACCAUGUUCCUCCCCCUUUUUCUCUCUCCUCCUCCUAACAGCUAUUCCGGCAACUCCUCUCCCUCCGUCCACCGCCAGAUUCAGGGAUCCGACCCUCUCGACCCUAACGCUCGCAUGCUCCUCUAUGACGAUCUCCUUCUCAACGGUGUCAGAGGCCAGAGAUUCUUAGAAUUGGAACUCUUUUGUCUUACAAUUCAGUCAUUGGAAGAGUUUCAAAGGUUGCCAUUGAAACUGCUAUUGCUGAUGUUAAUGCUGAUCCAAGCAUUCUUAAUGGGACUCAGCUGAAACUAAUCAUGGAGGACACAGGUUGCAACGUUUUCUUGGGGUCUGUUAAAGUUUUCAGGUUUGAAUUGAUUGUUUGUAACUACAUAUGUUACCGACGACUCACAAAAUGUUUGUAACUACAUAUGCAAACAAAUUGUGAGACAUCGGUCAUUUCAGCGCACGGUUUUUCUGGUCAAGGAAUUGGCCAAAACACAUGGUAUCAAUGAUUCAAAGUCUGGAACUUUAAAUUCAUACUGUCUCAGCAUGCUUAUUAUUUUCCAUUUUCAGACAUGUGUACCUCCACUUUUACCUCCUCUUAAAGAAAUCUACCCAGGAAAUAUAGUUGAUGACCUGAUAGGUGUGAGGGUUGUUGCAGAGAGAUAUAUUGAAUAAAUAUGUGCUGAGAAUAUAAACAAGUUUAGAUCGGAUAAGUCCAGAAAAAUAAAUAGAAGUUCUUUGUCUGAGCUUUUCAUUUCAUUCCUCAAAAAAGUUAUUUCUUUCAUAAUUCUUUCCUUUACAAGUGAAUUUAUAUGUAUGAGAUCAGCACCAACGAUGGAUCUAGGGUGGGUGGGCAGGUGGGGGGCACACCCCCCUAAAAUUUGAAAAAUAUCACUUAUUAUAUUAGAAAUUUUAAAAUAAUUAAAAAUUAUAAGGAUUUGCACACCCAAACUUAUUUUCGCACCCCCAUAGUUAUAAUCUUGGGUCCGUCCCAGCACCUUGUAU